GAGUUUGAUCAUGGCUCAGAUUGAACGCUGGCGGCAUGCCUUACACAUGCAAGUCGAACGGCAGCACGGGAGCUUGCUCCUGGUGGCGAGUGGCGAACGGGUGAGUAAUAUAUCGGAACGUGCCCUAGAGUGGGGGAUAACUAGUCGAAAGAUUAGCUAAUACCGCAUACGAUCUAAGGAUGAAAGUGGGGGAUCGCAAGACCUCAUGCUCGUGGAGCGGCCGAUAUCUGAUUAGCUAGUUGGUGAGGUAAAGGCUCACCAAGGCGACGAUCAGUAGCUGGUCUGAGAGGACGACCAGCCACACUGGAACUGAGACACGGUCCARACUCCUACGGGAGGCAGCAGUGGGGAAUUUUGGACAAUGGGCGAAAGCCUGAUCCAGCAAUGCCGCGUGAGUGAAGAAGGCCUUCGGGUUGUAAAGCUCUUUUGUCAGGGAAGAAACGGUAGAGGCUAAUAUCCUUUACUAAUGACGGUACCUGAAGAAUAAGCACCGGCUAACUACGUGCCAGCAGCCGCGGUAAUACGUAGGGUGCAAGCGUUAAUCGGAAUUACUGGGCGUAAAGCGUGCGCAGGCGGUUGUGCAAGACAGAUGUGAAAUCCCCGGGCUCAACCUGGGAAUUGCAUUUGUGACUGCACAGCUAGAGUGUGUCAGAGGGGGGUAGAAUUCCACGUGUAGCAGUGAAAUGCGUAGAUAUGUGGAGGAAUACCGAUGGCGAAGGCAGCCCCCUGGGAUAACACUGACGCUCAUGCACGAAAGCGUGGGGAGCAAACAGGAUUAGAUACCCUGGUAGUCCACGCCCUAAACGAUGUCUACUAGUUGUCGGGUCUUAAUUGACUUGGUAACGCAGCUAACGCGUGAAGUAGACCGCCUGGGGAGUACGGUCGCAAGAUUAAAACUCAAAGGAAUUGACGGGACCCGCACAAGCGGUGGAUGAUGUGGAUUAAUUCGAUGCAACGCGAAAAACCUUACCUACCCUUGACAUGGUCGGAAUCCUGAAGAGAUUUAGGAGUGCUCGAAAGAGAACCGACACACAGGUGCUGCAUGGCUGUCGUCAGCUCGUGUCGUGAGAUGUUGGGUUAAGUCCCGCAACGAGCGCAACCCUUGUCAUUAGUUGCUACGAAAGGGCACUCUAAUGAGACUGCCGGUGACAAACCGGAGGAAGGUGGGGAUGACGUCAAGUCCUCAUGGCCCUUAUGGGUAGGGCUUCACACGUCAUACAAUGGUACAUACAGAGGGCCGCCAACCCGCGAGGGGGAGCUAAUCCCAGAAAGUGUAUCGUAGUCCGGAUUGUAGUCUGCAACUCGACUACAUGAAGUUGGAAUCGCUAGUAAUCGCGGAUCAGCAUGUCGCGGUGAAUACGUUCCCGGGUCUUGUACACACCGCCCGUCACACCAUGGGAGCGGGUUCUGCCAGAAGUAGUUAGCCUAACCGUAAGGAGGGCGAUUACCACGGCAGGGUUCGUGACUGGGGUGAAGUCGUAACAAG
This 1486-nucleotide ribosomal RNA is filed under the name bacterium G9. RNAcentral describes it as "16S ribosomal RNA". It matches the Rfam family "Bacterial small subunit ribosomal RNA". RNAcentral also lists the same sequence under 1 other name. The record is from RNAcentral.